CCAAUCAAAGCCCCAAGGUUGGUCGGCGGCUACAUAAAAGAAUUUAUUCUUCCAUGCAUGGAUAGAAGAAGGAAGCCUGAUAAUAAACUAAUGACAAUACCAGAGACUGAAGAACCACCAUCCUCAUUUUUUAGAAUAUUUUUUCAACAUAAAAAGAGCAUGAAAAAGAGAAAUUUAUGGCUCAAAAUAAAGAAAAUGAUAAAGAACAACAAUUUGUCAUCAAAAGAAGACAAAAUCUUAAUGGAGCUGGGGGUGAGAUGGGGAGGAACAACCUCAUACAGAUCAAAAAUAUUUACAAAGAAAGGAUAUAUAGAAAAUCAAAGUUUCGAGUAGAGGAACUCCUCAUAGGCGGCAAUGUAGCUGUCCGGAGGGUGGAGAACCCAACCAUCUUCAUCAGACGCCAUCAACCAAUACUGACUGGGGAUGUGGUAAUGAUCUCUUAGCCGUUUAAUAUCGACCUCAGACAAUUUGGACCUCUCGUGAAGAGGCCCAAGAAGACUCUUGGGAGUUGGCUGUUUAUCCAACUCUCCAAGACCAGACCGAUCCUGUUGAGAAGCGACAUAUUUGGGAUCAUCCCGAAGAACAUCCUCGAUCUUCCUCUGGACAGUUGAAGUCCGAGAAUCUUGGUCUUCCAUCAUGUUCUUGUCUCCAGACUCUCUACCAGGUGAAACCAUUCUUAUGGCAAAAACCUAA
RNAcentral lists this long non-coding RNA (693 nucleotides) under Elaeis guineensis (African oil palm). Its description in RNAcentral is "long non-coding RNA (EGUI_LNC027548)". The record is from RNAcentral. Lineage: Eukaryota; Viridiplantae; Streptophyta; Magnoliopsida; Arecales; Arecaceae.